GAAAGAGGUACACGACCUCCACUAGGAGUGCACUCAAUGUGCACUCUUAAUUCAUUAUCUCUUGUAAAAACGUUUUUCAGAUUUAUUUUACAAUUCAAAAACAGAAAAAUAAAAUAAGCUUACUGAUUCUAAAGAUUUAUAGGCGGUAUUCAUCAAAAAGAAAAAAGAAAAAAAAUUGUACGCCUAAGUUCAUUAAGAAAUCACGUAAAGAACUUCACCCGUGAACAAGAAUCAAAGCUUGGAAGAAAAGUUUGUGUGCGGGUGGAAACGUGUGGUUGUGGCUGGUUGUAAAGGCUGAAAAGGUAUGGGUUUUCUUCUCUCUUGGUCACUUUCCUAAGAUCUCCCUAAGGUUCAGUAUGUAUUCCAAUAGAAAACUAAGGUUGUCCCGGUUGCAUGCCUCUGUCAUUAGAUUCUCUGAAAAGUGAUGCAUGCGUUGGUAUGUUUGCUGGUAGACAAUAUUAGGAACGUUUUUAAUUAUGUGUCAUGUGAUGUUUCCAUACAGCGUAUGAUCAUUUUAUGUGUUUCCGACUAUAUGUUUGUUUUAUGUACACAAUAAUGCUAGUUAUCAUGACAAGCAUAUUACUGAUUUUUUUCAAGAAAGUGGUGAAUUAGGUUCUAUGCAUUUCUUGUGUUAUUAACAUAUGAUGAUGAAAUGGUGAUGUUCAUGAACAAGAAAAUAAAAGUAAAUUUCAUAACGAGUUGGUUAAAAGUUUAUGUAAAACUCUAAGUUAAAAUGCCUAAAUUAAAUUCAAAGAAAGUGAAUUAAAGGUAUAUUUUAAUGGAGUAUAGUUUCGGCUAUUCUCUAGUAAAAAUGACGAAAAGUAUAUGCUUCCAUUGAGGGUGGAACUCGAGGCCUUAAGGUCUUGAUACUAAGAUAUUAAGGCUUAAAAUAAAAGAAAAGAAAAUGGGGUGAGAGGGAAUUCGAACUUGGUCAGGUUGAAAGAAGCUUAGAAAUAAAAGAAAAAGAAAAUAGUGAGGGAAGGGGGAUUCGAAUUUGAAUACUUGGCCAAGGGUGUGAGAUACAUAAAUCUCACACCAAAAUAAAAUAAUAAAAGUUGAGGCCACUGGAUUCGAUCCCAGUCCUCUUGACCGAAUGAGUGAAGCCAUCUAGCACUCCAAAUAAUUAACAAUGAAGUGUUGCCUAAGGGAUUCAAACUUGGGUCCCUUGACUGAAAUUGUGAGAAACAUUAAAAUGAAAUAAAAUGCAGCCACUACGGAUUGAACUUGGGUCCCUUGGCGGCACGUGUAAAAUGCAUAAGUCUUACAUUACAUAUACUUAGAUUGUCAUGAAACACUUAGUCAAUUAUGAGUAAUCCAAAUUGGGUAAGAACAUGAGUAAAUGGUAAGAUAAUUAGAUGAACAUUAACGUAAUGAGGUGAGUAAUUACAUUAUACUAUGAUUCUAAUGAAAAAAGUGACAACAUAAUAAGAGGCUAAUAUGAAUGGAUGAGAGAGUUAGGAGAAAAAUAAAUGUGGUGAAUGGGGAUUCAAUCCACAACCUCUUGGAUAGGUGAGAAAGUUAAUACAUAAAUUAAAAGAAAAAUAAUGAACCUGUGGGGUAUUGAACCCACAACAUCCUUGCCUUAAAAUGAAAAAGGAGAAGAGAACAACAAAGAAAUAUUAUGGGGGUGAUGGGAAUUGAACUGGGGUCUCCCAAAUCUGAAAAAUGCAAUUAUCAAGUUUAAAAGAAGAUUAAGUGUUGUUCAAGGGAUUCAAAAUGGGUUCCCUUGCCCAAUUUCGUAAUGAGACAUAAGUAAUUUGUAAACAAAUAUUUAAUGAAUGCUUCCUCUAAAGAUCGAAAUCAAUAACUUGGAAUAUCUACAAGAUGCAUAAGUCUUGUACCACAUAAUCUUGGGUAAACAUGAAUCACUAUGACAAACUAUGAAUGAAGCCUCAUGGAUUGUAUGUGUAGAAUUAUAAGUCUAGCAUACGUUUAAAAGUAAGUGAGCCUAAGAUGUAUGAGAUAAAAUUAUGUCACCAUAGAAGGAUUAAGUAAGAGUGUGAAAUGCACUAAAUGGCCAAGUGCAUUGGCAUAUGAUGAAAUGAACAUUCACGUGAAGGGCUGAGUAAUUUUGAAAAGGAAAUGUGUUUAGGUUAAUGAAUGAGGUGACAAUAUGAUAAGAGGAUAAUGUUAAAGAUCAAAGCACUCUGAAAUGAGCCUGAGUAAAUGUAACCAAAAAGUACCUCACCUAUGAGAGUGUAAAGCUACUAAAGAGACCAGUCUCUAUGAACACUCUAAUGAAAGUAUUGAAGUUAAUGCAUACUUAAUUUUAAUGAUGAAAUGAGAAAUCAUCUAAUGAGCUAUGAUGUCCUCAUGCUAGAAGCCAACUUCCAUGGUGUAUAAGUUCAAUGUAAUGGAAAUUUAUACUGAGCGCCGAUAGGCUAGCUAUGAGUGGUGAUGACUUCCUUCGAGAAGGGUGGAUGUUCACAUAACUCUCAUUAGAUGAGAAUUUUCGGCAUGCCGGGUAUGGGUCUCCUUAUAUCUGUUAGUCUUUGGACCUAUACUGCCAAUAUAGGGAUCGAGUAGGGUUAAAUUCCCUAUAUACGCUAGCAUGUUUUGGUUCACUUUGGCCGGUGAUUCCACCUCUUUUUAGUGUAGGGAUUAUACACUGGAUUUUCAUGAUGCUCACAUGAUCUAUGUUGGUUAAGUUUAAAGUUCCCAAAGAAUCAAUGAGGCCAGCCUCAAAGAAUACACAUAAUGAAAUGAACGAUCCUAAAGGUGUAAGUAUAGGGUAAUCAAGAGGUGAGCUAGACUUAUGUAAUGACACGAGGUUAUUCUUGGUCAUUGCACAUCAAACCCGAUGAGAGUCUUAAACUACAUCUUAGGUAUGACUGGUUUUUGCACUAGUAUAUGAAAGAAUGAAAAUGAAGUACGUACGAAUGAAUGAAGCAGAAUGAAUGAAGCAGACUCUGUGUUUGCUAAAAAAAGGCUCCCUAGUUGAGGUCAAAUAUGUUGAGCCCUCGCUUUGGGGAGUCCUACUGUGAAGUCCAUGAUUCAAAGGUCUCAUGGCAUAUGAAAGAUUGAUAUAAACUAUGUGAUAUUGUAUGUGUAAUAUGUUAUGUGUUGUUUGCAAAAUGAUAAGUAUGAUGAUGCAUGUUACUCUCAUGGCAUGACUUUCCUAAUCCAAAUUUGGGAAGUCCAUUGACUUGACUUUCCAUAAUUCAUAUCGUUAGGAGAGAUAUCUUCUUAAUCAUGCAUGUACUUGGUGUUUGCUUGCACAUACCCAUACUUAGUACGAGUCUAUACUAAUCCCAUACAACUCUAUACUUUUAGGUGCAGGCACAAGUGGACGCUAGAAUAUACAGUACAAUGCUAUAGCUAUCCGGACGUGGAGCAUUCAUCCGGAUUUUGUAGUCCCUCAUUAUUUCAAGGAUGCUUUCCUAUUAUAUUCUAGCUUAGAUAUAGGUUUGAUUUAGUGGAGUAUGUUCCACUAGCGUUUCGCUCCCACUUUAUUUCAGAAAUUUUAUUGGGGUCAUUUUGGAAUGUAUAAUUUAAUGCAGUAUGGGAAUAUUUAUUUUAUUUGAUGAUGUUAAAAUUAGA
RNAcentral lists this long non-coding RNA (3540 nucleotides) under Solanum lycopersicum (tomato). Its description in RNAcentral is "long non-coding RNA (SLYC_LNC000633)". Lineage: Eukaryota; Viridiplantae; Streptophyta; Magnoliopsida; Solanales; Solanaceae. The record is from RNAcentral.